Solanum tuberosum (potato) is the source of this 1094-nucleotide long non-coding RNA. RefSeq lists it as uncharacterized. Lineage: Eukaryota; Viridiplantae; Streptophyta; Magnoliopsida; Solanales; Solanaceae. The transcript has 3 exons. The record is from RefSeq and is a predicted model, not a curated record.
GAAAGUUUAGUAUCGCAAUAGCAAAUCCGACCAAAGUUGGGGUAUUUUUCAAACCCUUAUCCCUUUUUUUUACUACAAAUCACAAAACUAUUUAAGGAGAACAAAUUAGUGACUAAUAUGAUUAAUUUUGAGAUAAUUUAAAGGGAAAGAAAAGUAAUAUAAUUUCCUGCACAAGAAAAUAAUUUCAUAUUUUUUGAAGUCAAUGACCGACUCAUUGAUGAGAACAAACGAGCAAUAAUAUUUAAAUGUUUUAUUUCUAAUUGCACAAGUUCAUGGUGAACAUGUUGUGUCUUUAAACCUUCAAUUGAUAGGGUUAAUAUUGUUCUAUAUUGGUUGGUAAAUUUUUGAAUAUGUAUUGACAUAGUGUAUUGAUGACAUGGUGUAUUUGAUGCGGAUUAUAUGCCUGAUCAGAUCCAUCACAAAUUAAAAAAAAAAAACACCAAACUUCAAUAUAAUAGAUGAUGUUUACAGGCCCCUGAGGGAGAUUCAGCAAGAAGGAUGGAAGAAUCUGAGCUCUAUUUUAGAAUCUCCCGCAGAGAAGAAGCCCAGGGACGGAAAUAGGCUCCUAAAGAACGCACUGUCAUUGUCUUUCCCAGAUUGUUCUACUCAACUUGUUGUUUUGCCUUUCUGCAGGUUGUUUACAAAGGAAAGGUUAGCCAAAUGAUGGCGUUUGGAGGAGGAGAAGUGUGCACUAUGCAGCAAAGAUAAUGAAUUCAUAGACAAGCUCAAGGAUGGAUCUGGGAUGAAUUAGGCAAUUAUAAACUUCAAAGAUCGAAGUUUACAUGCUGAAGUUUUUAGAAUGACAUUAGUUGCGGGAGUUAAUAUUGAGAAAAAGGAAUUAGAGGAUCUUCCAAACAGAGAACAGAACAGAAGGCUUCAAGUCCUCAUUAUGUUGUUAAUUCAAGAUCCUCAUACUAGAGGAGUUAGUGAAAGCAACAUUAUUUAGAAUGUUAUUGGUUAUUUGGUCAUAUUUCAUUGUUAAAUUUGAAAAAAAAAUAAAAAAAUUUGAUUUCAAAGUGAAAAAUGAUAUAUGAAAAUUGGAAUUGUGUUUGAUCAUGAAUAUAAAUUGGAGUUUAUUCAUAAAUUAAAGUUAU